GGGCCCGCACAAGCGGAGGAACAUGUGGUUUAAUUCGAUGAUACGCGAGGAACCUUACCUGGGCUAGAACGUCCCUGGAAUACCGCGGAAACGGGGUAGCCGGCAACGGCCGGGGACGAGGUGCUGCAUGGUUGUCGUCAGCUCGUGCCGUGAGGUGUCGGGUUAAGUCCCAUAACGAGCGCAACCCCUACCGUUAGUUGCCAGCGGGUCAAGCCGGGCACUCUAAGGGAACUGCCGGCGUAAGCCGCGAGGAAGGCGGGGAUGACGUCAAAUCAGCACGGCCCUUACGUCCAGGGCUACACACGUGUUACAAUGGCCGGUACAGAGGGCAGCCACCCCGCGAGGGGGCGCGAAUCCCGAAAGCCGGUCUCAGUUCGGAUCGGAGUCUGGAACCCGACUCCGUGAAGCUGGAUUCGCUAGUAAUCGCGCAUCAGCCAUGGCGCGGUGAAUACGUUCCCGGGCCUU
Molecule: ribosomal RNA, 465 nt
Filed under: uncultured bacterium
Lineage: Bacteria
Description: bacterial SSU rRNA
Rfam family: Bacterial small subunit ribosomal RNA
Source: RNAcentral